RNAcentral lists this transfer RNA (81 nucleotides) under Paecilomyces variotii. RNAcentral describes it as "tRNA-Ser". It matches the Rfam family "tRNA". Rfam says of the family: Transfer RNA (tRNA) molecules are approximately 80 nucleotides in length. Lineage: Eukaryota; Fungi; Ascomycota; Eurotiomycetes; Eurotiales; Thermoascaceae. The record is from RNAcentral.
GGAAAGGUUGCCAUAGGUAGGGCGAGACGUUUGCUAAACGUUAUACGUUAGUAUCUAAGAGUUCGAAUCUCUUUUUUUCCG